UCAAUUCAGUUUUAGUUCACUUGUUAGCAUCUGUGUAAUACAACUUCUUUUCAUGUUUGAUUCACUUGUUAGCAUUUGUGUGAUAAAUUUUUAAUUUAGAUUUUGUUAAGAUUUAAUUCAGUUGUUAGCAAAGUGAUGCUCUUUUAGCAGAUUAAUCUAUGUCUCUCUCUAGUCUUUUAAUAUUAGUAAUACACUCUUUAAUGAUGUGCAGAAAAAAUAUGACUAAUAUAGCGGUGAUGCUUUACUUCAAUGGACGAUGUGAUCCUAGCAACAAAUAUAUUAACUACUUGGCAGAUGGUGUGUUGAUACACAUAGAGUCAAUGUUUGCCACCCUCGUUUCUGUAAUUACUACUCAAUUGUCAAUAGACACAUCAACAAAUAAAGUUGAAAUCAGAUAUAAAAUUGAUGAAAGGUCUCCUCCAAUUCAAAUUCAUAAUGAUAUGGGGGUAAAGGUAUAUCUUGAAACUAAAAAGGAACAUCGAGAUAUGACAAAAUACCUUUUAUGUGUCACAACAACUGAACCAGUCAACUUGGAGACUAAUGCUGCACUCAUUCCACUUUUGUGUUCAGACACUUCAGGAGAUAUGAGGGUUAUACACAAUUCAUACUUCUCUAAUACAUUUAAUGGUAUUGAUGAAGCAAUAGGGUUAAUUGGAUUCAGAUCAUGUGAGAAAGUUGAUGAGCUAGAAGAAUUAGCACCAGGCAUCAUUAUUAAUCUCAAUCACUCUUUAUUUGAAAAAGAUCAGGUGUAUAAGAAUAAAUAUGUCCUCACUAGUGCACUAAAAAGACAUUUCAUUCUUAAUCAUUUUCAAUUUAAGAUAAUAAGAUCAAGCGCAAUAAGGUAAGACCUAAAUUCAAGUCACUUUAAAUUAUUAAUUGUGUAUUAAUAUUUUUUCUACAGCUAUUCGAUACAGUGCCUAGGAGAAAGUUGCCUAUUGGAGUUUACGAGCUUCAAGCUUGAACAAAUAUGAAAUGUUCAAGAUUAGAGAAUUCGAAAGCGAACACACUUGUUUUUUGCUAUAUAAUUCAUUAUCGGAAAAGCUAGCAAUUAAGAGUGUUGUUGGGAGUAUUAUUGUGGGUAAAUAUGCUGAACCAGAUGUUAUUUACACACCAAAAGACACACAACGUGACAUGUUAGCUGAAUAUGGUGUGCUACUCACAUAUAUGCAAGCUUGGAGAGCUAAAGAGGCAGCUCUUGAAUUAAUCCGGGGUGAUCCAAUUCAAUCAUAUGCAAAGUUGCCAAGCUACUUUCACAUACUAGAGGCAACUUACCCUGGUUCUCAUAUAAGAUUUCACAAAUCAGAGGAUGACCAUUUUUUAUAUGCGUUUGUAGCUUUGUUCACCUCAAUAAAAGGAAAAAGGAUGGGAAUAUUGUAGACCAAUUGUAGUUAUUUUGUAAUUUUCUUAAAAGGAGCAUACAAAGGGACACUGCUAACCACUAAUACCGUAGAUGCAGCAGGGAGUAUAUUGCCACUUGCAUAUGCUAUUGUCGAUUCAGAGAAUGAUUCAUCUUGGAGGUAGUUUUUUUAGCAAUUCAGAGAUGCUUUCGGUCAAAGACCAUAGAUGUGUAUCGUUUUCGAUAGGCAUGCAGUUAUUAAGGCAGUUUCAACAGUUUAUGAUGAAGUACCUCAUUUUGCAUGUAUGUGGCACUUAAUGCAAAACAUAAUG
Molecule: non-coding RNA, 1668 nt
Organism: Solanum lycopersicum (tomato)
Lineage: Eukaryota; Viridiplantae; Streptophyta; Magnoliopsida; Solanales; Solanaceae
Source: RefSeq, a predicted model, not a curated record